CUCCAUUCUACAUUCACCUUGGUCACAAGUGAACUGCUGCCAUAGUUUUAUUUGGGUGUAAAGAAUGUCUACUGCCCUCUGUUUAAAUUCUGGGAAGGGGUAGUGAAUGUUUCCCCUUUCCUCCUACCUUAGGAAACAUUCUGAAAAUGUCGAAAAUACAAGACCACUAAGCCUGCUGUAUCUGAGCAAAUUAGUGGCUAUCUUUUUUUUUCCUUUUUAAAGCACAAGAGGCCCGUAAAUCUUCAGUUAUUUUCCUUGGUUUAAUAUAUAUUUUUUUGAUACAAGCUCUCAGAGCAAGGGAAUAAAAAUCAUGCAUUGUUGAACCAUUAACUGGCUGGCAUGCUUUCCUGUUUGUACCCUCUGCAUUUUACUGGG
Molecule: long non-coding RNA, 375 nt
Filed under: Androctonus crassicauda
Lineage: Eukaryota; Metazoa; Arthropoda; Arachnida; Scorpiones; Buthidae
Source: RNAcentral